Molecule: ribosomal RNA, 780 nt
Filed under: uncultured Neocallimastigales
Lineage: Eukaryota; Fungi; Neocallimastigomycota; Neocallimastigomycetes; Neocallimastigales
Description: partial large subunit ribosomal RNA
Rfam family: Eukaryotic large subunit ribosomal RNA
Source: RNAcentral
CUAUACAUGACUCUGCGCAUAUCAAUAAGCGGAGGAAAAGAAACUAACAAGGAUUCCCCUAGUAACGGCGAGUGAAGCGGGAAGAGCUCAAAUUUGAAAUCUUAAAGGGUUUCCCUUUACGAAUUGUAGUUUAAAGAAGUGUUUUCUGUUGGAGUUUUGGUAAAGUUCUUUGGAAUAGGACAUCAUAGAGGGUGAGAAUCCCGUAUUUGACCAUUUCUUCCAGCUGUUGUGAUACACUUUCAACGAGUCGGAUUGUUUGGGAAUGCAGUCCAAAAUGGGUGGUAAAUUUCAUCUGAAGCUAAAUAUUGGCGAGAGACCGAUAGCGAACAAGUACCGUGAGGGAAAGAUGAAAAGAACUUUGAAAAGAGAGUUAAACAGUACGUGAAAUUGUCAAAAGGGAAGCGUUUGACACCAGUGUUGUUUUUCCGAAAAUCAAUUAAACGAGAGGAUUUUGUUUUGAGGAGUUAUGACUUCAUCAGCUUACUGCACUUUCUUUAUGUACUUUCUUAAUGCACUUUUCGUUAACAAGUCAACAUCAAUUUCUUUUGUUGUAAAAGGGUAUGAGGAAGGUGGCUUUCAUUUCGGAGAAAGUGUUUAUAGCCUUGUGACCUCUGCAAUCGGAGAGAUUGAGGUCUGCAGCGUAGAUCCUUCGGGGUUAGAUACAUUUGUGCUAAGUUAUAGCUUUUCAUAGACAGCUUGUUGACUAUGAUUUAAUCAUUGUAGCUUACUCGCUUAUGCUAUUUUACCUACGCUUAGGAUGUUGACACACGCGCGUGCUCG